UGAGUCUCACAGUUUUUAGCA
Caenorhabditis elegans is the source of this 21-nucleotide non-coding RNA. The record is from Ensembl. NCBI's taxonomy places the organism in Eukaryota, Metazoa, Nematoda, Chromadorea, Rhabditida, Rhabditidae.